Molecule: small nuclear RNA, 128 nt
Filed under: Cervus hanglu yarkandensis (Yarkand deer)
Lineage: Eukaryota; Metazoa; Chordata; Mammalia; Artiodactyla; Cervidae
Description: U2 spliceosomal RNA (ENSCHYG00000016929.1)
Rfam family: U2 spliceosomal RNA
About the family: U2 is a small nuclear RNA (snRNA) component of the spliceosome (involved in pre-mRNA splicing). Complementary binding between U2 snRNA (in an area lying towards the 5' end but 3' to hairpin I) and the branchpoint sequence (BPS) of the intron results the bulging out of an unpaired adenosine, on the BPS, which initiates a nucleophilic attack at the intronic 5' splice site, thus starting the first of two transesterification reactions that mediate splicing.
Source: Rfam by way of RNAcentral
AUCGCUUCUCGGCCUUUUGGCUAAGAUCAAGUGAAAUGCGGACCAUAUAUGUAUAAAUAUUGAUUGUGCAGUGAUACACACUAUUUUCUAACAUAUAUUUCACUUACAUAUAUAGUGGAGAUUUUUUC